This 430-nucleotide ribosomal RNA is filed under the name uncultured bacterium. RNAcentral describes it as "partial 16S ribosomal RNA". It matches the Rfam family "Bacterial small subunit ribosomal RNA", at positions 29 to 505 of the family's 1533-position model. The record is from RNAcentral.
ACGAACGCUGGCGGCAUGCCUAACACAUGCAAGUCGAACGAGACCUUCGGGUCUAGUGGCGCACGGGUGCGUAACGCGUGGGAACCUGCCCUUAGGUUCGGAAUAACUCCCCGAAAGGGGUGCUAAUACCGGAUAAUGUCUUCGGACCAAAGAUUUAUCGCCUUUGGAUGGGCCCGCGUUGGAUUAGCUAGUUGGUAGGGUAAAAGCCUACCAAGGCGACGAUCCAUAGCUGGUCUGAGAGGAUGAUCAGCCACACUGGGACUGAGACACGGCCCAGACUCCUACGGGGGGAAGGAGGGGGGAAUAUUGGAAAAGGGGGGAAGGCCGACCCCAGCAAUCCCGGGGGAGUGAUGAAGGCCUUGGGGUUUAAAAGCUUUUUUCCCCGGGAUGAAAAAGACAGGCCCGGGAGAAAAAGCCCCGGCAAACCCCG